Molecule: ribosomal RNA, 2158 nt
Filed under: Desulfovibrio piger ATCC 29098
Lineage: Bacteria; Pseudomonadati; Thermodesulfobacteriota; Desulfovibrionia; Desulfovibrionales; Desulfovibrionaceae
Description: bacterial LSU rRNA
Rfam family: Bacterial large subunit ribosomal RNA
Source: RNAcentral
ACAAGUUGACAAGAGCAUCGGGUGGAUGCCUUGGCGUCGGAAGGCGAUGAAAGACGUGGUAAGCUGCGAAAAGCCUCGGGGAGAAGCUAAACAUUCUGUGAUCCGGGGAUUUCUGAAUGGGGAAACCCGGCGGAGGUCAUGCUCCGUCGCGGGCACUUGAAUACAUAAAGUGUCCAGCGCCAACUCAGGGAAGUGAAACAUCUCAGUACCUGAAGGAAAAGAAAUCAAACGAGACUCCCAAAGUAGCGGCGAGCGAAAUGGGAUGAGCCCAAACCGGCUGGAUUCGUUCAGCCGGGGUUGUAGGGCCGGCAUAUGUGAUUCAUGAGUAGGCAGGGGAAAUGAGCUGGAAAGCUCUGCCAGAGCGGGUGACAGCCCCGUACCUGAAACCCAAAGCGACACAGCCGGUACCUGAGUACCGCGAGACACGUGGAACCUCGUGGGAAUCCGGGAGGACCAUCUUCCAAGGCUAAGUACUAACCGACGACCGAUAGUGUACCAGUACCGUGAGGGAAAGGUGAAAAGAACCUCUGUUAGAGGAGUGAAAUAGAAUCUGAAACCUGGUGCUUACAAGCUGUGAGAGCGGACUUGUUCCGUGAUCACGUGCCUUUUGCAUAAUGAGUCAGCGAGUUAAUCUGUACUGCAAGGUUAAGCGUGAGUGGAGCCGUAGGGAAACCGAGUCUGACAAGGGCGAUGAGUAGUGCGGAUUAGACCCGAAACCGGGUGAUCUAUCCAUGAGCAGGUUGAAGCAAGGGUAAAACCUUGUGGAGGACCGAACCAAUACCGGCUGAAAACGGUUUGGAUGACUUGUGGAUAGGGGUGAAAGGCCAAUCAAACCCGGUGAUAGCUGGUUCUCCCCGAAAUAUAUUGAGGUAUAGCCUCAUGGAUUGUCUACCGGAGGUAAAGCACUGACAGGGCUAGGGGUCCUACCAGAUUACCAAACCCUAUCAAACUCAGAAUGCCGGUCAGAUGUACCAUGGGAGUCAGACGGCGGGUGCUAAGGUCCGUCGUCGAGAGGGUAAGAGCCCAGAUCAACAGCUAAGGUCUCCAAAUCUAUGCUCAGUGGUUAAGGUGGUGACGUUGUAGAGACACCCAGGACGUUGGCUUAGAAGCAGCCAUCGUUUAAAGAAAGCGUAAUAGCUCACUGGUCUAAUGACGUUGCGCCGAAAAUGUAACGGGGCUAAGCAUAGUACCGAAGCUUUGAAUUCCGCGAAUGCGGUCUGGUAGGGGAGCGUUCUUCACGGGCUGAAGGUGUGUCGUAAGGCAUGCUGGACUGUGGAGAAGUGAUUAUGCUGACAUGAGUAACGAUAAAACGGGUGAAAAACCCGUUCGCCGUAAACCCAAGGUUUUCCGGGUAAAGGUAAUCUUCCCGGAGUUAGUCGGCCCCUAAGGCGAGGCUGAAAGGCGUAGCUGAUGGGAAACGUGUUAAUAUUCACGUACUUGUGUGUUCGCGCGAUGAAGGGACGCAGGAAGAUAGGCAAGCCGGGCGCUGGUUGUCCCGGUGCAAGCGUGUAGGGAUGAGAAGUUGGCAAAUCCGCUUCUCUCUAUCCUGAGACGCGAGUCCGUGACCGAAAGGUCUGAAGUUGUUGAGUCUAUGCUGCCUAGAAAAGCUUCUAAGUAUAGGACACGCAAACCGUACCGGAAACCAACUCAGGUGGGUGGGAUGAAUAAUCCAAGGCGCUCGAGAGAACUCUGGCCAAGGAACUCGGCAAAAUAACCCCGUACCUUCGGAAGAAGGGGUGCUUUUUAGGGUGAAGCGAUUCACUCUGUCGAGCCCUGAAAAGCCGCAGAGAAAUGGUGGUGGCGACUGUUUACUAAAAACAUAGGUCUGUGCCAAGUCGUAUAGACGACGUAUACGGACUGACGCCUGCCCGGUGCUGGAAGGUUAAAAGGAGGAGUCAGCGCAAGCGAAGCUCCGAAUUGAAGCCCCAGUAAACGGCGGCCGUAACUAUAACGGUCCUAAGGUAGCGAAAUUCCUUGUCGGGUAAGUUCCGACCUGCACGAAUGGCGUAACGAUCUCCACACUGUCUCGGCCAGAGACUCGGUGAAAUUGAAGUCGCGGUGAAAAUGCCGUGUACCCGCAGAAAGACGGAAAGACCCUGUGCACCUUUACUAUAGCUUGACAUUGGGAUUUGAGCCUGCAUGUGUAGCAUAGGUGGGA